Hypanus sabinus (Atlantic stingray) is the source of this 872-nucleotide long non-coding RNA. RefSeq lists it as uncharacterized. NCBI's taxonomy places the organism in Eukaryota, Metazoa, Chordata, Chondrichthyes, Myliobatiformes, Dasyatidae. The transcript has 4 exons. The record is from RefSeq and is a predicted model, not a curated record.
GUUUCUUGUUUCCCCCCUGUUGAUUCACAAGGCUCUGAUACUAAAUUCAUUCUGGCAUGUGCAGUGGGCGGAUCGGCAAAUUUAGCUCUGAUAAUAGUUUUGGUGAAAGUCAAGUUAAAGAGAUCGCACGGGAUUAACGCAAGUUCUUUGGACAGAUGUCAGAAUGAACAGACGGCUGAAGAAGCUGCGGAUGAGCACAACACAGACUAUGUUUCACUAAAUAAGAGGGAGAGCAAAGGAUUUCGCAAAGAUCGACAAGAAAAGCGCAUUAUCUAUUCUCCGACUAAAAGAAAUGGAGCUGACAAACUGACCUACGCUGCGCUACAGCUUCCCGAUUCCAAGAACACCUCAGCAUCCAAACAUCAAAACCAACACACGCUCUACGCAGAUGUAAAUACAUCAAAGAAACUGUGAAACUGAGAAUCCAACUGCAGCUUAGCGCUAUAGACUAUCAAUGAGUGCAGACCGGAGGCAUUGCUUCUUUUCAUUUUCUGCAUCCAGGCAAAAAUUGUGAUUCUAUAUAACAUUUAUAAUUUAGGAAGGUAAGGGAUCAACUUCGUCUGCGAUUUGUUAGAAGCGAUUAUCACUGGGAAAAAAGUGAUUAACUUACGAGUAAGAUUGCGAAUAAGACAUUCCGUCUCUCUCUACUGCCCAGUUAUAAUCUCCAUUGAACAGUCCCCGAUCAUUCCAGGACAGAAACCUACUUUUCCUAAAGUACCGCCCCACCACCAAGAUAUUCCAUCCACAGUCCUCAGAGGAUGAAAAAAGAAAUCAAGAAUUUCGUCACCACUAGCGAGAGAAACUUUAUUUGCAGGGUAAAAGCAAACGCCAACUGAGCAGUUUUUUUCUUACUCACUUAUUUCAACGUUCAA